UACGUAGGAGGCGAGCGUUGUCCGGAAUUAUUGGGCGUAAAGAGCUUGUAGGCGGUUUGUCGCGUCUGCCGUGAAAAUUCGAGGCUCAACCUCGAACUUGCGGUGGGUACGGGCAGACUAGAGUGUGGUAGGGGAGACUGGAAUUCCUGGUGUAGCGGUGAAAUGCGCAGAUAUCAGGAGGAACACCGAUGGCGAAGGCAGGUCUCUGGGCCACUACUGACGCUGAGAAGCGAAAGCAUGGGGAGCGAACAGG
RNAcentral lists this ribosomal RNA (253 nucleotides) under uncultured bacterium. RNAcentral describes it as "partial 16S ribosomal RNA". It matches the Rfam family "Bacterial small subunit ribosomal RNA", at positions 524 to 776 of the family's 1533-position model. The record is from RNAcentral.